UGUUGAUUUAUUUCUAAAUGAGAUUAAAAACAAAAACCAGUAUAUUUUCAUGCUAUCUUUACCAACUAAAACUAUAAAUGGUUUUUCCUUUUCAAAUACUUGCAGAUAAAAAUCAUGCGCUCUGGCAUAACGAGGAAUUCCUAUAGUAUACCAGUGUAUUUUGAUUUCCUGAUGGUGAUACAAAGCUCUGUUACGAAAAUUGUAAAUAUCGUAUUAGCGUCCAUUCCAAUAAACAUUGUAAAUACGAGAUUAUGACAAGUGCUAAGAAAUUUUAUCUGAAUUUCUACUUUGAAGCCAACAUAUUCUAUGAGUUUAUAAAGGUGGAUGCAACUGCCGUUCAAUCAAAUGAUAAUAGCGAUAUCAAUUGAAAAGGUAAAUAGUUCGUGCUAAGCAACUUCUUAUAACUUUUAAGUAUAUUUUUAAUUCUAAUUAAUUCUGUAUGAUGAUAUUAAUUGGUCCGUGUUUAUGAAUUUAUAUUGAUUUUCACCUUUCCAAUUACUGAUUGACAAAAAAUAACAGUUCUAUUCAGCUAUUUAGGGAUAAUAAGUUAAAAAAUGCCUUGAGCAAUUUUCCCUAUCAGAAGAAUUUGCCGUAUACUCGAGACACAAUUAUAUGUAUUUUAUUUUUUAUUUUUUUGAGAAAUAUAAAUUACUUUGACUUGUUGAACGCCGAAGGCACGGUUUGUCACUUCACUCUACUAGAAGCCGUUGAGACGUCCGCGCCGGUACAACAAUGUCCUAUCUACCAUUAAAUCUCGAAGCAAAGAAGAAUUAACAUCGAGUUGUAGCAGCAUAGAAAUUCCGUGUUGUAGGGACGAUUUAAUAUACUGUGAACAUGAGCAUGCAUUAAAGGCGAAACAACAGGUCCCCUCU
Molecule: long non-coding RNA, 872 nt
Organism: Rhagoletis zephyria (snowberry fruit fly)
Lineage: Eukaryota; Metazoa; Arthropoda; Insecta; Diptera; Tephritidae
Source: RefSeq, a predicted model, not a curated record